AUGGAAUUAAGAUUUCCCAGGUUUAGCCAAGGCUUAGCUCAGGACCCCACUACUCGUCGUAUUUUGUUUGGUAUUGCUACCGCACAUGAUUUUGAAAGUCAUGAUGAUAUUACUGAAGAACGUCUUUAUCAGAACAUUUUUGCUUCUCACUUUGGGCAAUUAGCAAUAAUCUUUCUAUGGACGUCCGAAAAUCUGUUUCAUGUAGCUUGGCAAGGAAAUUUUGAAUCAUGGAUACAGGAUCCUUUACACGUAAGACCUAUUGCUCAUGCGAUUUGGGAUCCUCAUUUUGGUCAACCCGCUUUGGAAGCCUUUAAUCAAGGAGGUGCUCCUGGUCCAAUGAAUAUUGCUUAUUCUGGAGUUUAUCAGUGGUGGUAUACAAUAGGAUUACGCACCAAUGAGGAUCUUUAUACUGGAGCUCUUUUUCUAUUAUUUCUUUCUACGAUGUCCUUAAUAGCGGGUUGGUUACAUCUACAACCCAAAUGGAAACCAAGCCUUUCGUGGUUCAAAAACGCGGAAUCUCGUCUCAAUCAUCAUUUGUCAGGACUAUUCGGGGUAAGUUCUUUGGCUUGGACAAGACAUUUAGUUCAUGUUGCUAUUCCCGCAUCCAGGGGGAGUACGUUCCAUGGAAUAAUUUCUUAG
Molecule: ribosomal RNA, 639 nt
Filed under: Triticum aestivum (bread wheat)
Lineage: Eukaryota; Viridiplantae; Streptophyta; Magnoliopsida; Poales; Poaceae
Description: partial small subunit ribosomal RNA
Source: RNAcentral